RNAcentral lists this microRNA precursor (103 nucleotides) under Marmota monax (woodchuck). The record is from RNAcentral. Lineage: Eukaryota; Metazoa; Chordata; Mammalia; Rodentia; Sciuridae.
AGUAGGAUAGCUGGGUCAAAUGGUGGGUCCAUUCCCAGAUUUCCAAGGAAUCUCCAUACUGCUUUCCAGAAUGGUUGUAGCAAUUUGCAGUCCUACCAGCAAU